Molecule: long non-coding RNA, 966 nt
Filed under: Lepisosteus oculatus (spotted gar)
Lineage: Eukaryota; Metazoa; Chordata; Actinopteri; Semionotiformes; Lepisosteidae
Description: lncRNA (ENSLOCG00000021319.1)
Source: RNAcentral
UUUCCCCAAGAGGACACUAGUAAGAGAAACAGUUCUACUGUUAUUUUCAGCAGAAACACUGGUGAUAGAAGCAGUGUUCUUGUCACCUGUAUGUAAUCUGUAUGACACCACCAUCAGGACUGGAACAGAGAGCUCAGACAUGCCUCUGCUCUGUUAGUUGUGAAAGAAUCCACACAGCUCAGCUCCUCUGUGCCGAGCGAUGUUGUGUAGUUAUUGAUCAGCUGUAAUAGUUAAGGUCAGGUUUUCUCAAUCUGGAGUGAGAGGUGAACACUGGGCUGAAGACAGAUGACCAGGCACAGAGAGACUGCAGAGCCAGACUGCUGCCCUCAGACACACGAACCAGCUGUCACAGCUGUGCAGCCUACAGCAGCGUGUCCUGGGAUGGAGGCUGUCCAGAAGCUGCCAGUGGGAAGACGGGUAUGUUUAGAGUUGGGAUAGAGGUUGGUUACCCUCUCCUGUGUUUCUUUUCCUGGAUGUCCAAAAGAAUUGACAGUGGGAAGACAGAGUGGAAGGGGAGUUGGAAUGGAGAUGUCCAGAGGCUGCCAGUGGGAAGACCGGUACGGGUAGGAAGACAGAAUGGGGGUUGAUGGUCUCUCCUGUCUCCAGCAGUGCCUCCUUCUCUGAGGUGAAACGCCAAAAUGUCUGGGGUCAAAGGUCAAGAUGGACUCCAUUGCGGGGGCAGACGGUGGGAAGACCAGUGUGGAUGGAGUGUUGGGAUGGAGGAUGAUGCUUUACCCUGUGUUCAUUUCUGUAGUUUUCCAGAAUGUCCAGAGGCAGACAGAAGACGGGUUGUCUAGUGACUGACAGUGGGAAGACCAGUAUGUAUGAGGGGUUGGGAUAGAGGUGGGAUGCUCUCUCCUGUGAUCUUUUCCAUUUUCCAGGCUGCCAGUGGGAAGACGGGUAUGGCUGACAGUUGGGAUAGACGUUGGUUACCCUCUCCUGUAAUUUUUUCCCUAAUUGUCCAGG